Molecule: small RNA, 127 nt
Filed under: Marmota monax (woodchuck)
Lineage: Eukaryota; Metazoa; Chordata; Mammalia; Rodentia; Sciuridae
Source: RNAcentral
GCCAGGUGUGGUGGGGCACACCUGUAAUCCCAGCAGCUCAGGAGGCUGAGGCAGGAGAAUCACAAGUUCCAGGCCAGCCUCAGCCACUUAGCAAGGCUCCAAGCAACUUAGCAAGACCCUGUCUCAA